RNAcentral lists this non-coding RNA (99 nucleotides) under Microcebus murinus (gray mouse lemur). Lineage: Eukaryota; Metazoa; Chordata; Mammalia; Primates; Cheirogaleidae. The record is from RNAcentral.
AAAUGGUCCAAAGGUUGAGUAUCUCAAUUUUUCACAAACACAGAUUGAACUUGUUCUAUACUUUCCCCUCUUCUCACUACUGAACUUGACUAGUCUUAA